UACGGAGGGUGCAAGCGUUAUCCGGAUUCACUGGGUUUAAAGGGUGCGUAGGAGGACAGGUAAGUCAGUGGUGAAAUCUCCGAGCUUAACCCGGAAACUGCCAUUGAUACUAUUUGUCUUGAAUACUGUGGAGGUCAGCGGAAUAUGUCAUGUAGCGGUGAAAUGCUUAGAUAUGACAUAGAACACCAAUUGCGAAGGCAGCUGGCUACACAAAUAUUGACACUGAGGCACGAAAGCGUGGGGAUCAAACAGG
RNAcentral lists this ribosomal RNA (253 nucleotides) under uncultured bacterium. RNAcentral describes it as "partial 16S ribosomal RNA". It matches the Rfam family "Bacterial small subunit ribosomal RNA", at positions 524 to 776 of the family's 1533-position model. The record is from RNAcentral.